AAAACGACUCUCGGCAACGGAUAUCUCGGCUCUCGCAUCGAUGAAGAACGUAGCGAAAUGCGAUACUUGGUGUGAAUUGCAGAAUCCCGCGAACCAUCGAGUCUUUGAACGCGAGUUGCGCCCUAAGCCGUUAGGCCGAGGGCACGUCUGCCUGGGUGUCACGC
This 164-nucleotide ribosomal RNA is filed under the name Aglaia aff. eximia Bloembergen 4643. RNAcentral describes it as "5.8S ribosomal RNA". It matches the Rfam family "5.8S ribosomal RNA". Rfam says of the family: 5.8S ribosomal RNA (5.8S rRNA) is a component of the large subunit of the eukaryotic ribosome. The record is from RNAcentral. Lineage: Eukaryota; Viridiplantae; Streptophyta; Magnoliopsida; Sapindales; Meliaceae.